Non-coding RNA from Roridomyces roridus, 95 nucleotides. The record is from the annotation of a GenBank genome assembly. Lineage: Eukaryota; Fungi; Basidiomycota; Agaricomycetes; Agaricales; Mycenaceae.
GCAGCUGUAGCUCAGUGGUAUGAGCGUGCGAUUGCAAUGAAUCCAUGUACAACAUGAUCAUCGCGAGGUCCUGGGUUCGACCCCCAGCAGCUGCU